ACUAAUCGAUCGAGGACUUAACCAU
This 25-nucleotide ribosomal RNA is filed under the name Bacillus subtilis. Its description in RNAcentral is "partial ribosomal RNA". Lineage: Bacteria; Bacillati; Bacillota; Bacilli; Caryophanales; Bacillaceae. The record is from RNAcentral.